RNAcentral lists this ribosomal RNA (459 nucleotides) under uncultured bacterium. RNAcentral describes it as "partial 16S ribosomal RNA". It matches the Rfam family "Bacterial small subunit ribosomal RNA", at positions 338 to 795 of the family's 1533-position model. The record is from RNAcentral.
CCUACGGGAGGCUGCAGUGAGGAAUAUUGGUCAAUGGGCGGAAGCCUGAACCAGCCAAGUAGCGUGCGGGAUGAAGGCCCUACGGGUCGUAAACCGCUUUUGCACGGGGAUAACACCCUCCACUUGUGGAGGUCUGCAGGUACCGUGCGAAUAAGGGCCGGCUAAUUCCGUGCCAGCAGCCGCGGUAAUACGGAAGGCCCGAGCGUUAUCCGGAUUCAUUGGGCUUAAAGGGAGCGUAGGCGGGCGUUCAAGUCAGCUGUAAAAUCGCGCGGCUCAACCGCGCCCCGCAGUUUACACGGGACGCAUUGAGUUCACAACAGGCAGGUGGAAUUCGUGGUGGAGCGGUGAAAUGCAGAGAUAUCACGAGGAACCCCGAUUGCGAAGGCAGCCUGCCGGGGUGCGUCUGACGCUGAGGCUCGAAGGUGCGGGUAUCAAACAGGAGUAGAUACCCCUGUAGUC